UAGCCUUGACAUACUACAGAAUUUGACAGAGAUGUUGAAGUGCCUUCGGGAGCUGUAAUACAGGUGCUGCACGGCUGUCGUCAGCUCGUGUCGUGAGAUGUUGGGUUAAGUCCCGCAACGAGCGCAACCCUCGUCCUUAGUUGCUAGCAGUUCGGCUGAGCACUCUAAGGAGACUGCCUUCGUAAGGAGGAGGAAGGUGAGGACGACGUCAAGUCAUCAUGGCCCUUAUGGCUAGGGCUACCCACGUGCUACAAUGGGGCGUACAGAGUGGUACGAUUCCGCGAGGUGGAACUAAUCACAUAAAGCGUCUCUCAGUUCGGAUAGGAGUCUGCAACUCGACUCCAUGAAGCUGGAAUCACUAGUAAUCGUAGAUCAGCAAUGCUACGGUGAAUACGUUCCGCGGGUCU
Molecule: ribosomal RNA, 407 nt
Filed under: uncultured bacterium
Lineage: Bacteria
Description: bacterial SSU rRNA
Rfam family: Bacterial small subunit ribosomal RNA
Source: RNAcentral